RNAcentral lists this ribosomal RNA (253 nucleotides) under uncultured bacterium. RNAcentral's name for it is "partial 16S ribosomal RNA". It matches the Rfam family "Bacterial small subunit ribosomal RNA", at positions 524 to 776 of the family's 1533-position model. The record is from RNAcentral.
UACGGAGGGGGCUAGCGUUGUUCGGAUUUACUGGGCGUAAAGCGUGCGCAGGCGGUUUUGUAAGACAGGUGUGAAAUCCCCGGGCUUAACCUGGGAACUGCAUUUGUGACUGCAUAGCUAGAGUGUGGCAGAGGGGGGUGGAAUUCCACGUGUAGCAGUGAAAUGCGUAGAGAUGUGGAGGAACACCGAUGGCGAAGGCAGCCCCCUGGGUUAACACUGACGCUCAGGCACGAAAGCGUGGGGAGCAAACAGG